Molecule: ribosomal RNA, 794 nt
Filed under: Vibrio sp. Azasii
Lineage: Bacteria; Pseudomonadati; Pseudomonadota; Gammaproteobacteria; Vibrionales; Vibrionaceae
Description: bacterial SSU rRNA
Rfam family: Bacterial small subunit ribosomal RNA
Source: RNAcentral
CGUGGCUUUCGGAGCUAACGAUAUGCAAGUCGAGCGGAACGAGUUAUCUGAACCUUCGGUAGAAGGAACGAUAACGGCGUCGAGCGAAUUGACGGGUGAGUAAUGCCGCAGGAAAUUGCCCUGCAUGUGGGGGAUAACCAGAUGCAACGCGAAGAGCCUUACCUACUCUUGACAUACCAUGCCUACGGGCCAAAGAUGGAUUGGUGGACCUUCGGGAACUCUCGCGUCAGGAUGCUGCAUAGGCUGUCGAUUAGCUAGUGUUGUGAAAUGUAAGGGUUAAGUCCCGCAACGAGCGACGAUCCCUUAUCCUUGUUUGCCAGCGAGUAAUGAUCAGCCACUCCAGGGAGACUGAGACACGGUCCAGACUCCUACGGGAGGCAGCAGUGGGGACGACGUCAAGUGCAUCAAUGGGCGCUUAGCCUGAUGCAGGGCAUGCACACGUGUGUGACAGAAGGCGCAUACAGAGGUUGUAAAGCCAACUUGCGAGUCGUGAGCGAAGGUAGUGUAGUUAAUAGCUGCAUUAUUUGACGUUAGCGAUCAGAAGUCUGCAACGGCUAACUCCGUGCCAGCAGCCGCGGUAAUACGCUAGGGUGCGAGCGUUAAUCGGAAUUACUGGGCGUAAUAGCGCAUGCAGGUGGUUUGUUAAGUCAGAUGUGAAAGCCCGGGGCUCACACCAUCGGAAUUUGCAUUUGAAACUGGCAGANUAGAGUACUGUANAGGGGGGUAGAAUUUCAGGUGUAGCGGUGAAAUGNGUAGAGANCUGANGGANUACCNNUNGCNAAGGNGGCCCCCNU